RNAcentral lists this ribosomal RNA (253 nucleotides) under uncultured bacterium. Its description in RNAcentral is "partial 16S ribosomal RNA". It matches the Rfam family "Bacterial small subunit ribosomal RNA", at positions 524 to 776 of the family's 1533-position model. The record is from RNAcentral.
AACGUAGGAGACAAACGUUAUCCGGAGUUACUGGGCGUAAAGGGCGUGUAGGCGGUUCGUUAAGUCUGGCGUGAAAGCUCUCGGCUAAACCGGGAGAGGUCGUUGGAUACUGGCAAACUAGAGGACGGUAGAGGCGUGUGGAAUUCCGGGUGUAGUGGUGAAAUGCGCAGAUAUCAGGAGGAACACCCGUAGCGAAGGCGGCACUCUGGGCCGAUUCUGACACUGAGGAGCGAAAGCGUGGGGAGCGAACAGG